AAAGCGGACGAUCAGGCCGAACCCAGAGCGUGCAUGCUCCCUUCGUGUCCCUUGUCCUAAGUUAAUGAGUAAACUUUGGUUAGGACGUUUGGCUUGUGAUAUUUCGGUGGCGGACACCCAACGUCUUAUCCUUCACUUAAACUUAAUCCUGCAGACCCAGCACCGGGGCAGGUUAGCCUUUUCUUCUCCAAGCUCACCCGCCCUCGCCCCUAUAAACUACCAAUGGACAUCCUCUGUGUUGGUCACUGGGAAGCACUGAAGGCUCGAAGGUGAUCUUUGAAAUAGCAUGGAGGAUUGCAACGCGUGGACUGCACGUGCGUAGCAGAGCUAAGCGGUUUGCUUAAGUGCAGUUAUCUUUGUUAUUGGUCAAAUUUAAGAAUGAAUAUUAAUCUCCAUUUUAUGGAAGGGAAGUUGAUAACCACAAUUCAGUGGUACGCAGAGGUCACCAGGCCAAUAGAUAUUACAGCGACGAUUUCUACCCUAGAUGGGCAGAUUACAAAGUGGGAAUAGUUAACCACUUUAUCUAUAUCUAUAUAUCUAUAUAGAUAUUCUCUACUCCCCCAGAAUCUUUUUCACAAACAUUUCUAUGUAAAUAGAAUAACUUCAUAGAGAAAGUAAAACACUCUUACAAUAAAAAAAUACAAAAAAAUGGAAGCAUCUCCUGCCCUUGCAGAAAAAUAUGAAACGCUUUGAGCCUCUCUCUUCUGACGACAUGCCCAGCUGUAUCACAGAGGAGAGUGUUAAGUCAGAACGGCGAUCUCCAUGACGACGGAGGGGAGCGGCUACCAAAAUGACCUUCCAAAGGACGGCCACCUCUGAAUGCUGUGAUACAGUGGUAACAUGGGAAAAUAAAGUCUAGCUAUUAGGAAUGAACUCUGUGAGGAGAAAGGAACCUUUAUUUAGGAAUUGUGUGAGAGAAAAGAGAGGUACAAGGAAAAUACAUUUCGAAGAUCUAACGACCACCACUUAUCUUAUCUCAAGACAAUAUUCAACUCUGUCAAAAUCCUAACAGUAAAGGAAAAAGAAUCAUUUUGUAGAAAUCUUCAUUCCUGUAUAUAAUCUGUAUGAAUGAGAUACAUUAGUGGGACACCGAUAGCUAACAUUGGAAGCAAUGUUGCAAUGGCUUGGAUGCAGAUCUUCACUACACACUUGAAAGCCGGCUUGGUAACUAGAAUACUGCCCUCAGAGCACCCAUGUAGUUUGUUUAAUUGCACCCAUAGAAGUUCUGUAGGAUGAGGCAGCUGGUCUUACAGAAUGCUCACCCACCCUCCUCAUAACCUUUCCCUCGGCUGCCAACCAUCAUCUUGUGUUUGGUAAGAGUCGGAAAAUGAGGAAGACCAUUGGGAAGACAUGAACCUUUGCUGUCACCCGUCUAAUAGCUGCUGGCCACCUCUGGACGGUUGAGGGAGGCCAACGCCUAUUUGCUAAGGUGCUGAUUGAGACUCUGGAACACCAGUCUCUUCCCUUAAUAUAAAACCAACUUGGAGCCAAGUCAUUUAAGACCUUUUGAAAACUGACUCUAAAAUAGCGUGUGAUAUCUUGAGGAAGAAAAUAAACCAUGAUUUAGUAAAUGAGAUGAUGCACGGGGAAAGGGCAGCCUUAUAUGGUGUUCUUACAGAGAGAGAGAGGGCAUGGUUGGUAAAGCAAGGCCAGAAAAAAAAAAAACCCCUUGGCACAUCCACAGUCCCAGCUGGAAAUGGACAUCUCCGUGUCUGCAGCCCAGUGAGUGCCACCACCAGGUCUGACGAAUGGGUGGAGGCCUCCUCACUGAACUUGAGAAAUGGACGGCCUACUAAGCAAUGAUGCUCUUGGGGGAAUGACGGUGUCAUUUCUUUCUUCUUUAUAAAAUACUUACUAA
Molecule: long non-coding RNA, 1858 nt
Filed under: Mus musculus (house mouse)
Lineage: Eukaryota; Metazoa; Chordata; Mammalia; Rodentia; Muridae
Description: RIKEN cDNA B130034C11 gene
Source: RNAcentral